GAUGAACGCUGGCGGCGUGCCUAAUACAUGCGAGUCGAGCGAACAGACGAGGAGCUUGCUCCUCUGACGUUAGCGGCGGACGGGUGAGUAACACGUGGAUAACCUACUUAUAAGACUGGGAUAACUUCGGGAAACCGGAGCUAAUACCGGAUAACAUGUUGAACCGCAUGGUUCAACAGUGAAAGACGGUUUUGCUGUCACUUAUAGAUGGAUCCGCGUCGCAUUAGCUAGUUGGUAAGGUAACGGCUUACCAAGGCAACGAUGCGUAGCCGACCUGAGAGGGUGAUCGGCCACACUGGAACUGAGACACGGUCCAGACUCCUACGGGAGGCAGCAGUAGGGAAUCUUCCGCAAUGGGCGAAAGCCUGACGGAGCAACGCCGCGUGAGUGAAGAAGGUCUUCGGAUCGUAAAACUCUGUUAUUAGGGAAGAACAAAUGUGUAAGUAACUAUGCACGUCUUGACGGUACCUAAUCAGAAAGCCACGGCUAACUACGUG
This 497-nucleotide ribosomal RNA is filed under the name uncultured bacterium. RNAcentral describes it as "partial 16S ribosomal RNA". It matches the Rfam family "Bacterial small subunit ribosomal RNA", at positions 28 to 507 of the family's 1533-position model. The record is from RNAcentral.